Egretta garzetta (little egret) is the source of this 5406-nucleotide RNA transcript. It is a transcript of the gene named SUZ12 polycomb repressive complex 2 subunit, with no coding region annotated. The transcript is spliced from 16 exons. Lineage: Eukaryota; Metazoa; Chordata; Aves; Pelecaniformes; Ardeidae. The record is from RefSeq and is a predicted model, not a curated record.
ACACAGAUAUACAGAUUUCUACGUACCCGGAAUCUAAUAGCACCAAUAUUUUUGCACAGAACUCUCACUUACAUGUCCCACAGAAACUCCCGAACAAAUAUCAAAAGGAAAACAUUCAAAGUAGAUGACAUGUUAUCAAAAGUAGAGAAAAUGAAGGGAGAACAAGAAUCUCACAGCUUGUCUGCUCAUUUGCAACUUACGUUUACUGGGUUCUUCCAUAAAAAUGAUAAGCCAUCACAAAACUCAGAGAAUGAACAAAAUUCUGUAACCCUGGAAGUACUGCUUGUGAAAGUUUGCCACAAGAAACGAAAGGAUGUCAGUUGUCCGAUAAGACAGGUUCCUACAGGUAAAAAGCAGGUGCCUUUAAACCCAGACCUCAGCCAAAUAAAACCAGGCAACUUCCCAUCGCUUGCAGUUUCCAGCAAUGAGUUUGAACCAAGCAACAGCCAUAUGGUGAAGUCUUACUCAUUGUUAUUCAGAGUAACUCGCCCAGGAAGAAGAGAGUUUAAUGGACUGAUCAAUGGUGAAACUAAUGAAAACAUUGAUGUCAAUGAGGAGCUUCCAGCUAGAAGAAAAAGAAACUCUUCAAAUCGUGAAGAUGGGGAAAAGACAUUUGUAGCACAAAUGACGGUAUUUGAUAAAAACAGGCGCUUGCAACUUCUGGAUGGGGAAUACGAAGUGGCCAUGCAGGAAAUGGAAGAGUGUCCAAUUAGCAAGAAAAGAGCAACAUGGGAAACAAUACUUGAUGGGAAGAGACUGCCUCCAUUUGAAACAUUUUCUCAGGGACCUACACUUCAGUUUACUCUUCGUUGGACAGGAGACACAAAUGAUAAGUCUACAGCUCCUAUAGCUAAGCCUCUUGCAACACGAAAUUCUGAAAGCCUUCCUCAAGAAAACAAGCCCAAUUCUGUUAAACCUACUCAGACUAUAGCUGUGAAAGAAUCGUUGCCGACAGACCUUCAAACAAGAAAAGAGAGAGACGUUUUAAAUGAACCCCGACAAAAGUUGCGAAUAUUUUACCAGUUCCUUUAUAACAACAACACAAGACAGCAGACUGAAGCCCGAGAUGACUUGCAUUGCCCAUGGUGCACGCUGAACUGUCGGAAACUGUAUAGUUUACUCAAACAUCUUAAACUUUGCCACAGCAGAUUUAUAUUUAAUUAUGUUUAUCAUCCAAAAGGUGCUAGGAUAGACGUAUCUAUCAAUGAGUGCUAUGAUGGCUCCUAUGCAGGAAAUCCCCAGGAUAUCCAUCGUCAACCUGGAUUUGCCUUUAGUCGCAAUGGACCGGUCAAAAGAACUCCUAUCACACACAUACUUGUUUGCAGGCCAAAGCGUACGAAAGCAAGUAUGUCAGAAUUUCUUGAAUCUGAAGAUGGAGAAGUAGAACAGCAACGAACAUACAGCAGCGGGCACAAUCGGUUAUAUUUCCACAGUGACACAUGUUUACCUCUCCGUCCACAAGAAAUGGAAGUAGACAGUGAGGAUGAAAAGGACCCCGAAUGGCUACGAGAGAAAACCAUUACUCAAAUUGAAGAAUUUUCUGAUGUUAACGAAGGAGAGAAAGAAGUGAUGAAAUUGUGGAAUCUUCAUGUUAUGAAGCACGGGUUUAUUGCUGACAAUCAAAUGAAUCAUGCCUGUAUGCUGUUUGUUGAAAAUUACGGACAAAAAAUAAUUAAGAAGAACUUGUGUCGAAACUUUAUGCUACAUCUGGUCAGCAUGCAUGACUUUAACCUCAUCAGCAUAAUGUCAAUAGACAAAGCUGUUGCCAGGCUCCGAGAGAUGCAGCAGAAGUUAGAGAAAGGAGAAUCAGCCUCCCCCACAGAUGAGGAAUCUUCUGAGGAACAAAGUGGGACAACAAAUGGAUAUAGUGAAAAUAAUAUGAGAGAGAGAAUUUCAGAAAUGGAUAGCAUCUCAGGUGUCACAAAACAGAGCAAGAAACAAAAGCUCUGAAGUCAAAAGUCAAAUGCCAUUCAACGGACAAGCAUUGAAGUGACAUUCUAGGGUGCAUGAGCUCUAAAGAAUUACACACAAAAAUACAGAGAUUCCAAACAGGCACUGCUGGAUGGAAAUAAAUGAUUUCAACAAGGAUAUUGUUUUAACAGGGUUUCUAUUCAGUUAAUUAUGCAAGUACUACAUGUAUAUCGGUUUUGGUGAUGUAAUGACAAUAUUCUAAGAGUUUGAGCAUGAAGAGCAAUAUGAAAAUCUUUUUGUAAUUUUAGUAAUUAGUGUCUUAAGAACUUUAUGGAAUUUACAUAAUUUAAGUAUAUGUAAAACCGUUUUAUAUUAAGAUUUUUGCAUCUGUAUCUGGCUGUUUUUCCUGCCAUGAAGUUGUGAAACAUUGGGGAAAGGGGAUUGGGAUACAGUUUCUGCUUUUCUUAUUUAGAAAUUCUCCAGUUUAGCUUUUUGUGAAAAUAACGUCUCACUAUUUAAAGUUUAACCUUGAUCCUUGUAUUUGAAAUCAUUUAUCAAUUGAUCAUAAAUUACAAAUUCAUUUUUUGACAUGAAAAUUAUCAAAGUUGGCAAACUUAGCACUUCCUUUGUCUUGUGCCUGUUUGGAAAGAUCUUGGCUUUUCAUGUUACAGACACAGUCAAGUACCACCUUGGCUUUUUGAGGUUACCAGCAGUUUGGUUUUCGUGGAUAAUUCUGAUGUAUUGAUCACCCAGUGUACCAUUUUAAACUUGAACAUUAGCUCCUUUAUAUUUUUAUUACACAUUUACACAGCUACACAAACUAUUUGAUGUAAACCCUUUUUACUGGGGUUCCACAUCAUAGUGUGCCAUGCUAAAGCCGAGAGUCUAUAGUCAGUAUGUAGGCAUUACGUCGAUUAACUUCUUUGGAAGUUUAUGCCUGCUGUUUUGCCUGAGUACAGACUGCAAGUCCAGGCCAUAGGUUUAGCUUUGGCUUUCGAGAUGCCACUCUUGAGGGAAAAAUGCACUGUAAAAUUGGACCAGAAAAUGUGUUGCACUUCUUAUGCAAGUAUUCUGUGAUGUAUUGUAUUCAAUACAGAUACUAAGAUACUGACUAAACUAUAUUUGAGCAGUUUUGCACUGCUGUUAACACAUUUUAUGCAUACGUUUACAGAUUUUUUCCAAUGGAAAGUGGUUUCACUACUGGUACAGUAUCAGCACCGAAGGGUUUAUUCCAGCAAGCACUGUGGUUGAGUGACAUCACCUCAAUUUUUUUAUUAUCCUUAAAAUAUUGCAUUUUUCAUAUUCUUUAUUUAUAAAGGAACAAUGCUGCUGUAAAUACAGGUAUUUUUAAUUUUUUAUUUCAUUCCAUCACCAUGAGAUGCAGUUCCCUGUUUGUUUAAGGGGUAUAUAAGCUUUCUAAUGGUGUCUUCAGAAAUUUAUAAAAUGUAAAUACUGAUUUUGAUGGUCCUUAAGAUGUGUUUAACUGUGAGACUAUUUAACUAAUGGUGUGGAUGUGAUUUGUCAUCCAGUAUUAAGUUCUUAGUCACUGAUUUUGUGUACAAAAUAGGAAAGAGGGAAACUGCAGCUUUCAUUACAAACUUCUUGAAUUUGCCAGCUCUCUUGAGUUUUAGCAAACUCUAAUUAUGCCUCUGGAUAGUACAUCAAGCAUUUCUCUCUGGCUUUAAUUUGCUAAAGCUGUGCACAUAUGUAAAAAAAUAGAUUAUUUUAGGGGAGAUGUAGUUCUAGAAUUAUUGCUUAUGUCAUUUCUUAAGCAGUUAUGCUCUUAAUGCUUAAAAGAAGGCUAGCAUUGUUUGCACAAAAAGUUGGUGAUCCCCCCAAAAAUAGUAAUGAAAUUACUUCUGUCCAGUAAACUUUGUAUGUCAUGUCAAUUUAUAAUAAAAGCUGAAAAAAUCCCUUUGUUUUCUAUUUAUAAAGAUGCCUUUUCUAUAUGUACCUUUGAUAGAUUUUGAAGAUAUCAUGUAAGCUGGUUAAAAAGAAUUUGAAUGGUACAGUAGAUGUAAAAACAAAACAAAACCCCAAACAAACAAAAACCAGAACAAGUUCAGUUGUUUAAAUGAACCAUUGUUUUUACAUUAAAAUGUUUUAUUUGAAAUCUGCUUUUGUACAUAAAGUUCAGUAAUACAAAAUCUGCCAUGAUGGUUGUCCAGUCAUUUUGUGUGCAUGCAGGAAGGCCACAAGCGGUACCUUGUACAAACUUUCUCUUCUGCAUGUCUUGUAGAAUUCAGAUACGUGUUCUUCCUUUGCCAGGUUAGGUAGCUAAGUUUCUCUCCAGCUUUUUUGUUAUAUUUAAGGUGUCUCCAUAAAUUACCAGAGUUUUAGCUAGAUUAUAUAAAUUUUCAUUCUUUCUAGGGAGUAGAACUGAAUACUUGAGAUAUAUGUGUAAGUUGUGUAUUACUGCUUAGAACUGUAAUUUAUAUAACUGAAAAUGAAACAUCACUUGUGUCAGUUGUAAAACUUGUUAAAAGACUUGAGAGUUUUACAUGCAAGUGCUUAAAUGUUUCAAACAGAUUUUACAAGGUACUUGGUUUAUUUGGAGCAAAGUUUAAAUGGGUAUCAGUUUAAAAUGGCGCUUCUGUGGGACUGUAGAGGAUGGGUACUCCAGGUACUACAGAACAAAAUGACUAAGGAAUUGCACUGCUUGGCCGAAUAAUGACUGUCAAAUAGCAGACACUGGAAACCUUUUUCCAUGUUAAAAAGUAACUCAGAUACUGAAAUACAGGAUAUGACAGCUAGAUUCUGUAAAUUUGACUUCAGACUGCAGUUGUCCAGUAUGCUUUUGUCUCUAAAAUUGGCAAGGUUCUUCUAAUCUAGCUUUUAAUAUGUUCAUGGCAGAUUUUUAUGAUGUUUUGUAUUCAGUGAACCCCAGGUUGGAACCUACCAUAUGACUUGAAUAUUUAAUUCAGUGCAUUAAAUACUAUAUUCAAAAUUGUUAGAUGCAUUUAAGUUGUUAACCUUAAGUGUAUGUUGCUUUGAGUGUCUUGAAUGUAGUCCUUGAAUUUUUGGGGAGUGGGGUAAAGAGUCACUGCCUGGAAUGAAGUGGUUGCAAAUACUUUCAGCUGUUCUCAUUACUUCGCUAAUCACCAAAACAAAGCCCCCAAACCAGCCAUUUGAUUUUUACCUUUGAGAAUGCAGGAGCCAUUCUGUGAGGACAAUUUUGCAAUAUUGCUCAAAGCUAAGUAUUUCUUAAUUCACAGAACAGUUUGGUGCCAUCAUCAACCAGUGCUCGAAUGAAGGUGUUCCUGUUGGACCAGAUCCUGGUUAUAAAUCUGAUACUGCGUGGUUUCACAACUGAGAAAAUGAGCUUUGAAUGGAGUAGGCAAACAGAAAUGGAAAGCAGCCCUGCCACAUUCCUUUUUGUCACAUUAAAUAGGUUGCAGUAACUGCAAUCAGGAAAAGGAGAUUCAUGAUCUCACCAAAGAUUUUAACUGCACAAGCAGUAUGUACCUAAAAGGUGGAUUAAGUCACUCAUACAUG